Molecule: unclassified non-coding RNA, 457 nt
Filed under: Hevea brasiliensis (rubber tree)
Lineage: Eukaryota; Viridiplantae; Streptophyta; Magnoliopsida; Malpighiales; Euphorbiaceae
Source: RNAcentral
AUAGAACUGGGUCUGUUCGAUGCUCUGCUGCUGUUGAAAUUCUGAACAUUUGGGGAAUUUGGGUUGCUUUACGUUUUGUAAACCUGUAAGUGUUGCUAUGGGGGCUCGCCGGAAAAAUUUACCUGACCAAUUGGGAUUUUGUAGAAGUAUGCUUUUCAUAGAUUUUUAUUUUGUUAGAAUUUUAUCUGUAAUUCUUUCAGUUUAGGUAUUUCUUUACUACACUAGUCAUUUGGGCAAUUAUAGAACGUGUGCAUCUGUGAUUGUUCUAUAAUAAUACUUGUUAAAUUAUGCUUGAUGAAUUCCAGUAUUUUUCCCAUUUAUUUCCAAAAUGUAAUUUUUGUCUAAUAAUAACCCUGUAUCAAAGAAAUAAUGCAAUUUCCUCUUCACUUCUAUUCUAUAUUUUGAUUUUCUCUUCCCUAUUUUGCAUAGUUAACCCCUUUUAUGCUAAAUUUAGUUU